This 539-nucleotide ribosomal RNA is filed under the name Pichia sp. Z4Y31. Its description in RNAcentral is "eukaryotic LSU rRNA". It matches the Rfam family "Eukaryotic large subunit ribosomal RNA", at positions 90 to 656 of the family's 3401-position model. The record is from RNAcentral. Lineage: Eukaryota; Fungi; Ascomycota; Pichiomycetes; Pichiales; Pichiaceae.
CGAGUGAGCGGCAAGAGCUCAGAUUUGAAAUCGUGUUUCGGCACGAGUUGUAGAGUGUAGGCGGGAGUCUCUGUGGAGCGCGGUGUCCAAGUCCCUUGGAACAGGGUGCCUGAGAGGGUGAGAGCCCCGUAGGGUGCUGCGCGAAGCUUUUGAGGCCCUGCUGACGAGUCGAGUUGUUUGGGAAUGCAGCUCCAAGCGGGUGGUAAAUUCCAUCUAAGGCUAAAUAUUGGCGAGAGACCGAUAGCGAACAAGUACUGUGAAGGAAAGAUGAAAAGCACUUUGAAAAGAGAGUGAAACAGCACGUGAAAUUGUUGAAAGGGAAGGGUAUUGGGCUCGACAUGGGGGGUGCGCACCGCUGUCUCUUGUAGGCGGCGCUCUGGGCGCCCUCUGGGCCAGCAUCGGUUCCUGCUGCGGGAGAAGGGGCUCCGGAAAGUGGCUCUUCGGAGUGUUAUAGCCGGGGCCAGAUGCCGCGUGUGGGGACCGAGGACUGCGGCUUCUGUCUCGGAUGCUGGCAUAACGGCGCAAUACCGCCCGUCUUG